This 480-nucleotide ribosomal RNA is filed under the name uncultured bacterium. RNAcentral describes it as "partial 16S ribosomal RNA". It matches the Rfam family "Bacterial small subunit ribosomal RNA", at positions 28 to 507 of the family's 1533-position model. The record is from RNAcentral.
GAUGAACGCUAGCGGCAGGCCUAAUACAUGCAAGUCGAGGGGUAUGGGUUGCUUGCCACCCAGAGACCGGCGCACGGGUGCGUAACGCGUAUGCAAUCUACCUUAAUCAGGGGGAUAGCCCGGAGAAAUCCGGAUUAACACCGCAUAACAUUGAGUUGUGGCAUCACAGUUCAAUCAAAUAUUUAUAGGAUUAAGAUGAGCAUGCGUGACAUUAGUUAGUUGGUGAGGUAACGGCUCACCAAGACCACGAUGUCUAGGGGAUCUGAGAGGAUGACCCCCCACACUGGUACUGAGACACGGACCAGACUCCUACGGGAGGCAGCAGUAAGGAAUAUUGGUCAAUGGGCGCAAGCCUGAACCAGCCAUGCCGCGUGCAGGAAGACGGCCCUAUGGGUUGUAAACUGCUUUUGUACCGGAAUAAACCUUCUCUUGCGAGAGAAGCUGAACGUACGGUAAGAAUAAGGAUCGGCUAACUCCGUG